This 498-nucleotide ribosomal RNA is filed under the name uncultured bacterium. RNAcentral's name for it is "partial 16S ribosomal RNA". It matches the Rfam family "Bacterial small subunit ribosomal RNA", at positions 29 to 507 of the family's 1533-position model. The record is from RNAcentral.
AGCGAACGCUGGCGGCGUGCCUAACACAUGCAAGUCGAACGUGAAAAGGGAAACCUGAGUAAAGUGGCGUACGGGUGAGUAACGCGUAGGUAAUCUACCCCAGAAUCUGGAAUAACCUGCCGAAAGGCGGGCUAAUACUGGAUAGAGCGAGGGAACUCGUAAGAGAGUUUUUCGGGAAAGGGAGCCCGCAAGGGCCUUCGUUCUGGGAUGAGCCUGCGUCUCAUUAGCUAGUUGGUAAGGUAACGGCUUACCAAGGCGAUGAUGAGUAGCUGGUCUGAGAGGAUGAUCAGCCACACUGGAACUGAAACACGGUCCAGACUCCUACGGGAGGCAGCAGUGGGGAAUCUUGCGCAAUGGACGAAAGUCUGACGCAGCCACGCCGCGUGAGUGAUGAAGGCCUUCGGGUUGUAAAGCUCUGUCGGAUGGGACGAACAUCUUCAUAGUGAAUAGCUAUGAGGACUGACGGUACCAUCAAAGGAAGCACCGGCUAACUCCGUG